This 413-nucleotide ribosomal RNA is filed under the name uncultured bacterium. RNAcentral describes it as "bacterial SSU rRNA". It matches the Rfam family "Bacterial small subunit ribosomal RNA", at positions 28 to 423 of the family's 1533-position model. The record is from RNAcentral.
GAUGAACGCUGGCGGCGUGCYUAACACAUGCAAGUCGAACGAAGCACUUGUAUUUGAUUCUUCGGAUGAAGAUACUUGUGACUGAGUGGCGGACGGGUGAGUAACGCGUGGGUAACCUGCCUCAUACAGGGGGAUAACAGUUAGAAAUGGCUGCUAAUACCGCAUAAGCACACAGUGUUGCAUGACACAGUGUGAAAAACUCCGGUGGUAUGAGAUGGACCCGCGUCUGAUUAGCUGGUUGGUGGGGUAACGGCCUACCAAGGCGACGAUCAGUAGCCGACCUGAGAGGGUGACCGGCCACAUUGGGACUGAGACACGGCCCAAACUCCUACGGGAGGCAGCAGUGGGGAAUAUUGCACAAUGGGGGAAACCCUGAUGCAGCGACGCCGCGUGAGCGAAGAAGUAUUUCGGUA